UGGGGAAUAUUGGACAGUGGGGGCAACCCUGAUCCAGCCAUGCCGCGUGCGUGAAGAAGGCCUUAGGGUUGUAAAGCGCUUUUACCAGGGAUGAUAAUGACAGUACCUGGAGAAUAAGCUCCGGCUAACUCCGUGCCAGCAGCCGCGGUAAUACGGAGGGAGCUAGCGUUGUUCGGAAUUACUGGGCGUAAAGCGCGCGUAGGCGGCGUAUCAAGUCAGGGGUGAAAUCCCGGGGCUCAACCCCGGAACUGCCCUUGAAACUAGUAUGCUAGAAUACUGGAGAGGUGAGUGGAAUUCCGAGUGUAGAGGUGAAAUUCGUAGAUAUUCGGAAGAACACCAGUGGCGAAGGCGACUCACUGGACAGUUAUUGACGCUGAGGUGCGAAAGCGUGGGGAGCAAACAGGAUUAGAUACCCGGGUAGUCC
RNAcentral lists this ribosomal RNA (424 nucleotides) under uncultured prokaryote. RNAcentral's name for it is "bacterial SSU rRNA". It matches the Rfam family "Bacterial small subunit ribosomal RNA", at positions 355 to 796 of the family's 1533-position model. The record is from RNAcentral.